Molecule: transfer RNA, 73 nt
Filed under: Trichonephila inaurata madagascariensis
Lineage: Eukaryota; Metazoa; Arthropoda; Arachnida; Araneae; Nephilidae
Description: tRNA-Ser
Rfam family: tRNA
About the family: Transfer RNA (tRNA) molecules are approximately 80 nucleotides in length. Their secondary structure includes four short double-helical elements and three loops (D, anti-codon, and T loops).
Source: RNAcentral
GGGGUGUGUAGCUCAGUGGUAGAGCAUUCAACUGCUGAUCGGGAGGUCCCCGGUUCAAACCCGGGUACCCCCA